ACAAUCCCCUUUUCCAUUUAACCUAUAUAUCAUCAGAUGUCAAAUAAUGAAAUCACAGAGGUCUGAUACCUUCAACGAUUUUAGGCCUUAUAGAUCUAAUUGAUGGAGCUAAUCGAUCUCUGGGUUUUGUGGACGAGUCCUUGAAUCGUGUAAGCCAGAUUUGUUUAUUAUCACUAGUCAGUGGGGAAAACCAUAUCGGUACUGGUGGCGUCUGAAAAGCAUCACUGGCGAACGAGAGCUAUGAUUGUUAAUCGAUACGAGUCAUGUUUAAAGACUUUUAACAUAUGACGCUAUUGUAAAAGACUAUUUCAAUGCUGAAAAAUAUGAGGACAUGUAUGCAUAUGUACGUACGUACGUACGUGAUACUGAAGUGAAAAAGUUGCCUGCAAGGCUGCUUCGGAUGAAUGAGAAUGUUGAUGGUGGUGCAAGGAUUGUUAUGUGUCUAUUCAUAUUUAUGUAUGUGUAACAGUUGAAUGUACAUAGGUGUAACUGUAUGUUUUACAAAUAUGUGAAUGUCAUGUAUCCUUAUCAUGUUAACGUUUCAUUUUCA
Long non-coding RNA from Helianthus annuus (common sunflower), 550 nucleotides. RefSeq lists it as uncharacterized. The record is from RefSeq and is a predicted model, not a curated record. Lineage: Eukaryota; Viridiplantae; Streptophyta; Magnoliopsida; Asterales; Asteraceae. The transcript is spliced from 2 exons.